GAUGAACGCUGGCGGCGUGCCUAAUACAUGCAAGUCGAGCGAACGGACGAGAAGCUUGCUUCUCUGAUGUUAGCGGCGGACGGGUGAGUAACACGUGGAUAACCUACCUAUAAGACUGGGAUAACUUCGGGAAACCGGAGCUAAUACCGGAUAAUAUUUUGAACCGCAUGGUUCAAAAGUGAAAGACGGUCUUGCUGUCACUUAUAGAUGGAUCCGCGCUGCAUUAGCUAGUUGGUAAGGUAACGGCUUACCAAGGCAACGAUGCAUAGCCGACCUGAGAGGGUGAUCGGCCACACUGGAACUGAGACACGGUCCAGACUCCUACGGGAGGCAGCAGUAGGGAAUCUUCCGCAAUGGGCGAAAGCCUGACGGAGCAACGCCGCGUGAGUGAUGAAGGUCUUCGGAUCGUAAAACUCUGUUAUUAGUGAAGAACAUAUGUGUAAGUAGCUGUGCACAUCUUGACGGUACCUAAUCAGAAAGCCACGGCUAACUACGUG
RNAcentral lists this ribosomal RNA (497 nucleotides) under uncultured bacterium. RNAcentral's name for it is "partial 16S ribosomal RNA". It matches the Rfam family "Bacterial small subunit ribosomal RNA", at positions 28 to 507 of the family's 1533-position model. The record is from RNAcentral.